CCGAGUUUACAACUCCCAAACCCCUGUGAACAUACCUUUUGUUGCUUCGGCGGGAUCGCCCCAGCGCCCUCGCGGCCUGGAACCAGGCGCCCGCCGGGGGAAAUCAAACCCUAGUUUUCUUCUGUAUCUUCUGAGUGGCAUAACGCAAAAAUAAAUCA
RNAcentral lists this unclassified non-coding RNA (158 nucleotides) under uncultured Nectriaceae. RNAcentral describes it as "sequence contains ITS1". The record is from RNAcentral. Lineage: Eukaryota; Fungi; Ascomycota; Sordariomycetes; Hypocreales; Nectriaceae.